RNAcentral lists this ribosomal RNA (152 nucleotides) under Gloeophyllum trabeum. RNAcentral's name for it is "5.8S ribosomal RNA". It matches the Rfam family "5.8S ribosomal RNA". Rfam says of the family: 5.8S ribosomal RNA (5.8S rRNA) is a component of the large subunit of the eukaryotic ribosome. It is transcribed by RNA polymerase I as part of the 45S precursor that also contains 18S and 28S rRNA. Lineage: Eukaryota; Fungi; Basidiomycota; Agaricomycetes; Gloeophyllales; Gloeophyllaceae. The record is from RNAcentral.
ACUUUCAACAACGGAUCUCUUGGCUCUCGCAUCGAUGAAGAACGCAGCGAAAUGCGAUAAGUAAUGUGAAUUGCAGAAUUCAGUGAAUCAUCGAAUCUUUGAACGCACCUUGCACUCCUUGGUAUUCCGAGGAGUAUGCCUGUUUGAGUGUC